GACGGGGCCGCGACAAGCGGUGGAGUAUGUGGUUUAAUUCGAUGCAACGCGAAGAACUUACCUGGUCUUGACAUCCCGGAGACCUUUAGGAACUAGGGGUGCUUCCAUCUGGAAGAAUCUGGAGACAGGUGCUGCAUGGCUGUCGUCAGCUCGUGUCGUGAGAUGUUGGGUUAAGUCCCGCAACGAGCGCAACCCUUGCCUUUAGUUGCCAGCAGUUCGGCUGGGCACUCUAAAGGGACUGCCGGUGUUAAACCGGAGGAAGUGGGGAUGACGUCAAGUCCUCAUGGCCUUUAUGACCAGGGCUACACACGUACUACAAUGGCCGAUACAAAGGGCAGCGACACUGCGAGGUGAAGCCAAUCCCGUAAAAUCGGUCUCAGUCCGGAUUGGAGUCUGCAACUCGACUCCAUGAAGUUGGAAUCGCUAGUAAUCGUGGAUCAGCAUGCCACGGUGAAUACGUUCCCGGGCCUU
RNAcentral lists this ribosomal RNA (471 nucleotides) under uncultured Desulfobulbus sp. RNAcentral describes it as "bacterial SSU rRNA". It matches the Rfam family "Bacterial small subunit ribosomal RNA", at positions 912 to 1382 of the family's 1533-position model. The record is from RNAcentral. Lineage: Bacteria; Pseudomonadati; Thermodesulfobacteriota; Desulfobulbia; Desulfobulbales; Desulfobulbaceae.